GCAGGCAGCCGGACGGCCGCUGCCGGCGUCGCGCAGGCGUUCGCCGGGAGAGGAAAGUCCGAACUCCACAGGGCGGUGUGCCGGAUAACGUCCGGGAUUCAGGCUUCAAGGCCUGAAGACGGCUAGUGCCACAGAGAAGAUACCGCCCGCGUCCGCAAGGACGCAGGUAAGGGUGAAAAGGUGCGGUAAGAGCGCACCGCCCCGGCGGCAACGCACGGGGGCAGGGUAAACCCCACACGGAGCAAGACCAAAUAGGGAGGAAUGCGCAGCCAGGUCCAGACAGCUGCGCAGCGUGCCGGCCCGGCGCGCCAACGUGGAUCCUCCAGACGGAUGGCCAACAGGCCAUCGCGUGGAGCGGAAACCUCCGGGUAGGUCGCUUGAGCGGCGCAGUAAUGCGUCGCCUAGAGGAAUGGCCGUCCUCGACAAAAUUCGGCUUACAGGCUGCCUGCAACA
This 453-nucleotide RNase P RNA is filed under the name Acidipila rosea. RNAcentral describes it as "Acidopila rosea Bacterial RNase P class A". It matches the Rfam family "Bacterial RNase P class A". From Rfam's summary of the family: Ribonuclease P (RNase P) is a ubiquitous endoribonuclease, found in archaea, bacteria and eukarya as well as chloroplasts and mitochondria. Its best characterised activity is the generation of mature 5'-ends of tRNAs by cleaving the 5'-leader elements of precursor-tRNAs. RNAcentral also lists the same sequence under 1 other name. The record is from Rfam by way of RNAcentral. Lineage: Bacteria; Pseudomonadati; Acidobacteriota; Terriglobia; Terriglobales; Acidobacteriaceae.